GCGACCCCAGGUCAGGUGGGACUACCCGCUGAGUUUAA
This 38-nucleotide ribosomal RNA is filed under the name Emilia sonchifolia var. javanica. RNAcentral's name for it is "partial 26S ribosomal RNA". The record is from RNAcentral. RNAcentral also lists the same sequence under 1 other name. Lineage: Eukaryota; Viridiplantae; Streptophyta; Magnoliopsida; Asterales; Asteraceae.